GAUGAACGCUGGCGGCGUGCCUAAUACAUGCAAGUCGAGCGAACGGACGAGAAGCUUGCUUCUCUGAUGUUAGCGGCGGACGGGUGAGUAACACGUGGAUAACCUACCUAUAAGACUGGGAUAACUUCGGGAAACCGGAGCUAAUACCGGAUAAUAUUUUGAACCGCAUGGUUCAAAAGUGAAAGACGGUCUUGCUGUCACUUAUAGAUGGAUCCGCGCUGCAUUAGCUAGUUGGUAAGGUAACGGCUUACCAAGGCAACGAUGCAUAGCCGACCUGAGAGGGUGAUCGGCCACACUGGAACUGAGACACGGUCCAGACUCCUACGGGAGGCAGCAGUAGGGAAUCUUCCGCAAUGGGCGAAAGCCUGACGGAGCAACGCCGCGUGAGUGAUGAAGGUCUUCGGAUCGUAAAACUCUGUUAUUAGGGAAGAACAUAUGUGUAAGUAACUGUGCACAUCUUGACGGUACCUAAUCAGAAAGCCACGGCUAACUACGUGCCAGCAGCCGCGGUAAUACGUAGGUGGCAAGCGUUAUCCGGAAUUAUUGGGCGUAAAGCGCGCGUAGGCGGUUUUUUAAGUCUGAUGUGAAAGCCCACGGCUCAACCGUGGAGGGUCAUUGGAAACUGGAAAACUUGAGUGCAGAAGAGGAAAGUGGAAUUCCAUGUGUAGCGGUGAAAUGCGCAGAGAUAUGGAGGAACACCAGUGGCGAAGGCGACUUUCUGGUCUGUAACUGACGCUGAUGUGCGAAAGCGUGUGGAUCAAACAGGAUUAGAUACCCUGGUAGUCCACGCCGUAAACGAUGAGUGCUAAGUGUUAGGGGGUUUCCGCCCCUUAGUGCUGCAGCUAACGCAUUAAGCACUCCGCCUGGGGAGUACGACCGCAAGGUUGAAACUCAAAGGAAUUGACGGGGACCCGCACAAGCGGUGGAGCAUGUGGUUUAAUUCGAAGCAACGCGAAGAACCUUACCAAAUCUUGACAUCCUUUGACAACUCUAGAGAUAGAGCUUUCCCCUUCGGGGGACAAAGUGACAGGUGGUGCAUGGUUGUCGUCAGCUCGUGUCGUGAGAUGUUGGGUUAAGUCCCGCAACGAGCGCAACCCUUAAGCUUAGUUGCCAUCAUUAAGUUGGGCACUCUAAGUUGACUGCCGGUGACAAACCGGAGGAAGGUGGGGAUGACGUCAAAUCAUCAUGCCCCUUAUGAUUUGGGCUACACACGUGCUACAAUGGACAAUACAAAGGGCAGCGAAACCGCGAGGUCAAGCAAAUCCCAUAAAGUUGUUCUCAGUGCGGAUUGUAGUCUGCAACUCGACUACAUGAAGCUGGAAUCGCUAGUAAUCGUAGAUCAGCAUGCUACGGUGAAUACGUUCCCGGGUCU
RNAcentral lists this ribosomal RNA (1372 nucleotides) under uncultured bacterium. RNAcentral's name for it is "bacterial SSU rRNA". It matches the Rfam family "Bacterial small subunit ribosomal RNA", at positions 28 to 1381 of the family's 1533-position model. The record is from RNAcentral.